RNAcentral lists this ribosomal RNA (861 nucleotides) under uncultured organism. Its description in RNAcentral is "bacterial SSU rRNA". It matches the Rfam family "Bacterial small subunit ribosomal RNA", at positions 527 to 1382 of the family's 1533-position model. The record is from RNAcentral.
AGAGGUCCCAAGCGUUGUUCGGAUUUACUGGGCGUAAAGGGUGCGUAGGCGGCUAGAAAAGUUUGGUGUGAAAUCUUCGGGCUCAACCCGGAAACUGCACUGAAAACUAUCUGGCUAGAGGAUCGGAGAGGAGAUUGGAAUUCUCGGUGUAGCAGUGAAAUGCGUAGAUAUCGAGAGGAACACCAGUUGCGAAGGCGGAUCUCUGGACGGUUCCUGACGCUGAGGCACGAAAGCUGGGGUAGCGAAGAGGAUUAGAUACCCUCGUAGUCCCAGCCGUAAACGGUGCACACUUGCUGUGGGCGGAUUCGACCCCGUCCGUGGCGAAGCUAACGCGAUAAGUGUGCCGCCUGGGGAGUACGGUCGCAAGAUUAAAACUCAAAGAAAUUGACGGGGGCCUGCACAAGCGGUGGAGUAUGUGGCUUAAUUCGAUGCAACGCGAAGAACUUUACCUGGCCUUGACAUGUAGUGGCCCGGGUGCGAAAUCACCCUUUUCUUCGGAACUGCUACACAGGUGCUGCAUGGCUGUCGUCAGCUCGUGUCGUGAGAUGUUGGGUUAAGUCCCGCAACGAGCGCAACCCUCAUGUUCUGUUGCCACCCGGAUGUAAAUCCGGAGCACUCUGGACAGACUGCCUGGUUUUAACCAGGAGGAAGGUGGGGAUGACGUCAAGUCAGUAUGGCCCUUACGGCCAGGGCUGCACACGUACUACAAUGCCUGAUAUAAUGGGAAGCAAGACCGCGAGGUGGAGCAAAUCCUCAAAAUCGGGCCCAGUUCAGAUUGUAGGCUGCAACUCGCCUACAUGAAGGAGGAAUCGCUAGUAAUGCCGUAUCAGCUACGACGGCGUGAAUACGUUCCCAGGCCUU